The sequence is a ribosomal RNA, 1315 nucleotides long. It matches the Rfam family "Bacterial large subunit ribosomal RNA", at positions 1609 to 2925 of the family's 2925-position model.
CAAGAAAAGCCUCUAGCUAGAAUUGUGGUGCCCGUACCGCAAACCGACACAGGUAGUCAAGAUGAGAAUUCUAAGGUGAGCGAGCGAACUCUCGUUAAGGAACUCGGCAAAAUGACCCCGUAACUUCGGGAGAAGGGGUGCUCUUUAGGGUUAACGCCCAGGAGAGCCGCAGUGAAUAGGCCCAAGCGACUGUUUAUCAAAAACACAGGUCUCUGCUAAACCGUAAGGUGAUGUAUAGGGGCUGACGCCUGCCCGGUGCUGGAAGGUUAAGAGGAGUGGUUAGCUUCUGCGAAGCUACGAAUCGAAGCCCCAGUAAACGGCGGCCGUAACUAUAACGGUCCUAAGGUAGCGAAAUUCCUUGUCGGGUAAGUUCCGACCCGCACGAAAGGCGUAACGAUUUGGGCACUGUCUCAACGAGAGACUCGGUGAAAUCAUAGUACCUGUGAAGAUGCAGGUUACCCGCGACAGGACGGAAAGACCCCGUGGAGCUUUACUGUAGUCUGAUAUUGAAAUUCGGCACAGCUUGUACAGGAUAGGUAGGAGCCUGAGAUACGUGAGCGCUAGCUUACGUGGAGGCGUUGGUGGGAUACUACCCUCGCUGUGUUGGAUUUCUAACCCGCACCAUUUAUCAUGGUGGGAGACAGUGUCAGAUGGGCAGUUUGACUGGGGCGGUCGCCUCCUAAAGAGUAACGGAGGCGCUCAAAGGUUUCCUCAGAAUGGUUGGAAAUCAUUCAUAGAGUGUAAAGGCAUAAGGAAGCUUGACUGCGAGACUUACAAGUCGAGCAGGGUCGAAAGACGGACUUAGUGAUCCGGUGGUUCCGCAUGGAAGGGCCAUCGCUCAACGGAUAAAAGCUACCCCGGGGAUAACAGGCUUAUCUCCCCCAAGAGUUCACAUCGACGGGGAGGUUUGGCACCUCGAUGUCGGCUCAUCGCAUCCUGGGGCUGUAGUCGGUCCCAAGGGUUGGGCUGUUCGCCCAUUAAAGCGGUACGCGAGCUGGGUUCAGAACGUCGUGAGACAGUUCGGUCCCUAUCCGUCGUGGGCGUAGGAAAUUUGAGAGGAGCUGUCCUUAGUACGAGAGGACCGGGAUGGACAUACCUCUGGUGUACCAGUUGUCGUGCCAACGGCAUCGCUGGGUAGCUAUGUAUGGACGGGAUAAGUGCUGAAAGCAUCUAAGCAUGAAGCCCCCCUCAAGAUGAGAUUUCCCAACUUCGGUUAUAAGAUCCCUCAAAGAUGAUGAGGUUAAUAGGUUCGAGGUGGAAGCAUAGCGAUAUGUGCAGCUGACGAAUACUAAUCGAUCGAAGACUUAAUCAAAUU